RNAcentral lists this long non-coding RNA (750 nucleotides) under Homo sapiens (human). RNAcentral's name for it is "PREDICTED lncRNA (TCONS_00144243)". The record is from RNAcentral. Lineage: Eukaryota; Metazoa; Chordata; Mammalia; Primates; Hominidae.
GCCGAGGUUCCAAAGACAGCCUCAGUUUCCCCUUCUGCGGAACAGGCCCGGGGCUGACAACGAGGACCCCGACCGGGCCUCGCACACGGCGGCAACUGGAGUUGGGGGAGUGUAGACGUCCCGCCCCCCCACCUCCCUCGCCGCCGUCCCGCUGCGCGCCCAAGGAGGAGACAAAAUUCAGUUUCUUACACUCAUGAAGGCAAAACAGAAAGCAGAGAAGACUGCCAGGAAACGCUGGGGUGAGGGGCUGCUCCCUUAGAUCAGGUGGUCUGGGGAGGCCUCUCUUCACCAGAGAUGCGUGAGUCACAGCAUGAAGGAGAUGAAUUAGCAACGCUUUCCCAGGAGUAAAGAACAUGGACUUCAUUACCUGGCGUUUAGGACAUUUCCCUUGGUGUCUCAGAGGGACCGCAGGUCAGAUGAGCGUGCAGCUGUGGCUCCAUCCCGUGCCUUUGCCUGUUCUGAACUUUCCAUCAACGGAAUUGCAGAUUGGCCGGGCACGGUGGCUCACGCCUGUAAUCCCAGCACUUUGGGAGGCCGAGGCAAGCAGAUCACGAGGUCAGGAGAUCGAGACCAUCCUGGCUAACACAGUGAAACUCCGUCUCUACUAAAAAUGCAAAAAAUUAGCCGGGCGUGGUGGCGGGCGCCUGUAGUCCCAGCUACUGGGGAGGCUGAGGCGGAAGAAUCGCUUGAACCCGGGAGGCGGAUCACUUGCAGUGAGCGGAGAUCGCACCACUACACUCCAGCCUGGGG